This 2153-nucleotide ribosomal RNA is filed under the name human gut metagenome. Its description in RNAcentral is "bacterial LSU rRNA". It matches the Rfam family "Bacterial large subunit ribosomal RNA", at positions 274 to 2425 of the family's 2925-position model. The record is from RNAcentral.
CCUGUAAGCUACGGCUUAUGGGGGUUGAGGACUGACGUAAUUAAGGCCAGGCUUAGCUGAACUACCUGGGAAGGUAGGCUAGAUAAGGUAAGAGCCCUGUAAGCGAAAGGCAGAGCCUUAAGGUCAGUAUCCAGAGUACCACGGAGCACGAGGAAUUCUGUGGGAAGCAGGGGGGACCACCCUCCAAGGCUAAAGACUAACUGGCGACCGAUAGCGCAUAGUACCGUGAGGGAAAGGUGAAAAGAACCCCGGGAGGGGAGUGAAAUAGUACCUGAAACCGUAUGUCUACAAGCAGUCGGAGCGAAAGCGACGGCGUGCCUAUUGAAGAAUGAACCAACGAGUUAUCUGCACUAGCGAGGUUAAGUGGAAGACACGGAGCCGUAGCGAAAGCGAGUCUGAAAAGGGCGGCGAGUUAGUGUAGGUAGACCCGAAACCGCAGUGAUCUACCCAUGUCCAGGUUGAAGCGCAGGUAAAAAUGCGUGGAGGACCGAACCGGUGAGCGUUGAAAAGCUUUCGGAUGAGAUGUGGGUAGGGGUGAAAUUCCAAUCGAACGCGGAGAUAGCUGGUUCUCCCCGAAAUAGCUUUAGGGCUAGCCUCAGGUAGUAAGUAUAGGCGGUAGAGCACUGAUCGGGCUAGGGGCCAUAAAGGUUACCGAACCCUGUCAAACUCCGAAUGGAUAUACUGCAGAGCCUGGGAGUCAGACUACGAGUGAUAAGAUCCGUGGUCAAAAGGGAAACAGCCCAGACCACCGGCUAAGGUCCCAAAUGCCGUACUAAGUGGAAAAGGAUGUGGGGAUUCAUAAACAACCAGGAUGUUGGCUCAGAAGCAGCCACCAUUUAAAGAGUGCGUAAUAGCUCACUGGUCGAGAGUCCCUGCGCCGAAAAUUUCCGGGGCUAAAGUACGGAACCGAAGCCGUGGCUGUGUACGUAAGUGCACGGGGUAGGGGAGCGUUGCCACAGGGGUGAAGCUGGUCUGUAAGGACUGGUGGACUUGUGGGAAGUGAGAAUGUUGGUAUGAGUAGCGAAAAGAAAGGUGAGAAUCCUUUCCACCGAAAGCAUAAGGAUUCCUGAGCAACGAUCGUCGUCUCAGGGUAAGUCGGGACCUAAUCCGAGGCAAAGAGCGUAGGAGAUGGACAACAGGUUGAUAUUCCUGUACCGGCAGCAAUUGUUUGAGCGAAGGAGUGACACAGAAGGGCAGGCAGGCGCGAGACUGGAUUGUCGCGUGCAAGCGUGUAGGGUAGUGUACAGGCAAAUCCGUACACUGAAAGCCUGAGGCGUUACGCGGAGCGAGCAGAGAUGCGAGCGAAGCUGCUGAUCCCACACUGUCGAGAAAAGCUUCUAGUGAGAGAGCUGCCGCCCGUACCGUAAACCGACACAGGUAUGCGGGGAGAGAAUCCUAAGGUGCGCGGGAGAACCCUCGUUAAGGAACUCGGCAAAAUGUACCCGUAACUUCGGGAUAAGGGUAGCCGUCUUGGUGAAGGAACUAGCUUCUGGAGCUGAAGGCGGUCGCAGAGAAGAGGCCCAAGCGACUGUUUACCACAAACACAGGUGCCUGCUAAAGCGAAAGCUGACGUAUAGGUGCUGACACCUGCCCAGUGCUGGAAGGUUAAGGAAGGAUGUCCGGGCAACCAAAGCAUUCGACCGAAGCCCCAGUGAACGGCGGCCGUAACUAUAACGGUCCUAAGGUAGCGAAAUUCCUUGUCGGGUAAGUUCCGACCCGCACGAAAGGUGUAACGAUUUGGGCACUGUCUCAACGAGGGACCCGGUGAAAUUGAAAUACCUGUGAAGAUGCAGGUUACCCGCGACUGGACAGAAAGACCCCAUGGAGCUUUACUGUAACCUGACAUUGGGUUUUGUUGUAUUACGUACAGGAUAGGUGGGAGGCUUGGAAGGCUGGACGCUAGUCUGGCUGGAGCCGGCGUUGGGAUACCACCCUUGAUACAACUGGAAUUCUAACCGAGAGAGUAACGAAAUCCGGGACAGUGUCAGGCGGGCAGUUUGACUGGGGCGGUCGCCUCCGAAAGAGUAACGGAGGCGCCCAAAGGUUCCCUCAGCGCGGCCGGAAAUCGCGCGAAGAGUGUAAAGGCAGAAGGGAGCUUGACUGCGAGCCAAACACGGCGAGCAGGUACGAAAGUAGGGCUUAGUGAUCCGGUG